RNAcentral lists this ribosomal RNA (504 nucleotides) under uncultured bacterium. RNAcentral describes it as "partial 16S ribosomal RNA". It matches the Rfam family "Bacterial small subunit ribosomal RNA", at positions 29 to 507 of the family's 1533-position model. The record is from RNAcentral.
ACGAACGCUGGCGGCGUGCCUAAUACAUGCAAGUAGAACGCACAGUUUAUACCGUAGCUUGCUACACCAUAGACUGUGAGUUGCGAACGGGUGAGUAACGCGUAGGUAACCUGCCUGGUAGCGGGGGAUAACUAUUGGAAACGAUAGCUAAUACCGCAUAAUAUUAAUUAUUGCAUGAUAAUUAAUUGAAAGGUGCAAUUGCACCACUACCAGAUGGACCUGCGUUGUAUUAGCUAGUAGGUGAGGUAACGGCUCACCUAGGCGACGAUACAUAGCCGACCUGAGAGGGUGAUCGGCCACACUGGGACUGAGACACGGCCCAGACUCCUACGGGAGGCAGCAGUAGGGAAUCUUCGGCAAUGGACGAAAGUCUGACCGAGCAACGCCGCGGGAGUGAAGAAGGUUUUCGGAUCGUAAAGCUCUGUUGUAAGAGAAGAACGGGUGUGAGAGUGGAAAGUUCACACUGUGACGGUAGCUUACCAGAAAGGGACGGCUAACUACGUG